CCCAGGAACACACCACGUUCCCCGGACGAGGGGAGCCAGUACCCGGCGACGCGCAAAGACUGGCUCACA
This 69-nucleotide non-coding RNA is filed under the name Jonesia denitrificans. RNAcentral also lists the same sequence under 1 other name. Lineage: Bacteria; Bacillati; Actinomycetota; Actinomycetes; Micrococcales; Jonesiaceae. The record is from RNAcentral.